Non-coding RNA from Potamilus streckersoni, 77 nucleotides. NCBI's taxonomy places the organism in Eukaryota, Metazoa, Mollusca, Bivalvia, Unionida, Unionidae. The record is from the annotation of a GenBank genome assembly.
GACCACUCCGGUGGCCUAGUGAUUACUGAGUCCGCUUUGGAUGCGGGAAGUCACGGGUUCAAAUCCCGGCCGAGUCA